Molecule: regulatory RNA element, 83 nt
Rfam family: Cyclic di-GMP-II riboswitch aptamer
Source: Rfam
UUAAAAAUUAGAACAGAUGAACUACAGUUAUAUUUGGACGCUUAAGCUGUAGGGAUGUAGUGGCGUAACCGGCUAACAAUAGU